This 1989-nucleotide long non-coding RNA is filed under the name Theobroma cacao (cacao). RNAcentral describes it as "long non-coding RNA (TCAC_LNC001165)". Lineage: Eukaryota; Viridiplantae; Streptophyta; Magnoliopsida; Malvales; Malvaceae. The record is from RNAcentral.
UCAAUCAUAAUCUUAUAUUAGAAAUUUAGUUCCCCAUCAAAUCACACAUCAUCAUUGAAUAAAAUUUAAACAUUAAAAUCAAAACCAAGAAAAUAAGAGAAUAAAAGAAAUUGUAUAAAAACUCAAGAAUUGUAUUCUUGAACUUCAAAUCUCCCUGAAUUCUGUAAAUUUUUCUUAGCUUCAAUGACUUUGUGGCUUGACUUUCAAAUGUCAAUUUGGUGUUUAUUUUUUCUCUAAGUCCUCCAAAAGGUUGUUUUUAUAGGCUUUGAAAUUAGGCCAAGUUGGGUGAAGAAAGAAGUCAAUUUCAGCAGCAAUUUCCUUAUCAAACUAUGUAAGUUGCAGCUUUGCCAAAUUAAUUAACAAAAAUCGUAAUUGCUCUAGGACUGCUGCAGUAUGUCAACUUUGAAAAGAUUUUUGACUAUUCUACAAGCCUAACUGGGUGAAGUGGUAAACAUAAAAGUUUUAGAUAUUUUUCUUAACUUUCCAGUGGUUCAAGAAUUACAUCAUUUGGAGCUUUGUAGAAAAGGUUAUGGUUAAAAUACCGAAACAUAUGCAUUGGAAGUCUGUACCUUGAAAUUGCUCUCCUUCUUCCAUUAAAAUUCUGUUUUCAUCACACCUACAAAAGCACAAAUAAAUCAAUAACAAUGUAUCUUAUCCAGAUUAACACCAAAUUAGACAUAAAAUUAACCAAGAUUAGAUUGACUCACCUAAAAUAACUAAUUUAAAAUAAUUAAAUAAAACCUACUCAUUUUUAUGCAUUACUACAAAAACAAAGCUAAAUUAUUAUCAAAAUUAAGUCCAAAAAUUAAAUAUUAAAUAAAUCUCACUUAACUACUAGACCUAAGAUUAUAAUAUCCCUCAAUACUUCAUCUGAUUAUUGUCUCUCUCUCUUAACUCAAUUUAAUGGAUUAAAUUGCUAACCUAGAGUCCUAAAUUAUUUACAAGUCUCUAUCGAGUUUCUCAUAAAAAUACAUAUCCCAAUUAAUUUACUAUAUGUCUAUGCAAAUUAAAUUGAAGAAAGAUUCAUUAAGUUUGUGCUCUAAUCCUGGCUACGUAUGGCUUAUAGGUGUAUGUCUACCCUAUAUGCAAAUCAAACCACCUAAUCAACUAAGUGUAUUCGAUCAUACACUAUUUUAUUCAAGGUCUACCUAAAUCUCCUUCGUCAAGGUUUAACCUAGGUUUCCUAUUCAAUCUAAUUGGUGAUAAGGCAAUUAGAAGCAUUAAGAACAGAAUAAAAUAAACAACUUAAAUCUAUCAAACAUAAGUAAAAGAGAGAUAAAUAAUUCAGACUAUAUAUUGAGUUCAAUCAUAAUCUUAGAUUAAAAAUUUAGUUCACAUCAUCAUUGAAUAAAAUAUAAACAUUAAAAUCAAAACCAAGAAAAUCAAAGAAUAAAAGAAAAUAUAUAAAAACUCAAGAAUUGUAUUCUUGAUCUUCAAAUCUCCUUGAAUUCUUCAAAUUCUUCUUAGCUUCAAUGACUCUGUGCCUUGACUCUCAAAUGUCAAUCUGGUGUUUCUUUUUUCUCCUCUCUUAAGUCCUCCGAAAAGUUGUUUUUAUAGGCUUUGAAAUCAGACCAAGUUGGGUGAAGAAAGAAGUCAAUUUCAGCUGUGAUUUCUUUAUCAAACUAUGUAAGUCGCAGCUUUGCCAAAUUAAUUAACAGAAAUCGCAAUUGCUCUAGGACUGCUGCAGUAUGUCAAAUUUGACAAGAUUUUUGACCAUUCUACAAGCCGAACUGGGUAAAGUGGUAAACAUAAAAGUUGUAUAUUUUUCUCUUAUCUUUCUAGUGGUAUAAGAAUCGCUUCAUUUGGAGCUUUGUAAAAAAUGUUAUGGUCAAAAUACCGAAACAUAUGCAUUAGAAGUCUGCACCUCGAAUUUGCUCUCCUUCUUCCAUUAAAAUUCUUUUUUCAUCACACCUACAAAAGCACAAAUAAAUCAAUAACAACGUAUCUUAUCCACAUUAACAUCAAAUUAAACAUAAAAUUAACCAAGAU